GGUUACUCUUUAAUUAACAUUUUAUUUUGAAGAGUAAUAAUUAUUUAUUUUGAAGCUUAGCCUUGACUUAGUUUGAGCUUUAGUAGUUAUAACUUACAAUUGAUUGAUAGCUUUAUAUCCAUUAUUCUGACAUUAUUGGUUGUUAGAAUUGUUAAUUUAGAGAUGUUGAGCUAAAACUUAAAGCUUGAGAUUAAGAAUAUAUAUUAUAAUUGUUAGGUUAAUUUCGCAUUCAGGCAAUUCUCUUUCUUCUGCUCAUUCCCAGUUCUUAGUUCCUAUGUGGAGUUCAUAUCGAUUUGAAUUCAGCAUCAUCAUAUUUACUCAUGGUUUGAUGCAUCAUGUUUACAUAUUUGUUAGAUGCCUUGAAAUAAUACCUAAACAUUGGUUGGUCCAAUAUAUCAUCUUCUAAGUAGUGCAUUUUCACAGGGUUUAGACAGACAGAAAAUGUUGCUUGGCAUCCCGAUAUGUCGAUAAAGUUGUGUUAUGUAAGCAUUUCGACGACAUGGGAAGUCAUGCUUUUCUUAAAUGUCUAGACAUUUAAAAUUCAUAUAUACAUUUUGUAAUUAAGACAAUCUCCAAGAGACAAGGAGUCUUUUCUUAAAGAGCAUCUUGUAGACGUAUCUUUAAAUUUUAAUCUUUAAAAUUUUUAACACACACCACCAACUUUUUAUUUUUAUUCAUUUUUCGUAUUCCUAUAACCAUUUGUUAUUUUUCCAUCAUUUUUUAAUUAAUAUAUAUUUUUAGAUGUAAAUGGCACUUUGUGGUACUCAUUGACAUCCAACCUUUUGCAACACAAGAAUAUUUGGAUCAAGAACUUGGUUCCUCCCUUGAGAGAUUGAUAAAAAAGAAGCCAAAAGAUUUUGCAUUAUCUUUUCUUCUGGUUUAACAUCCACAUUAAUGUUUGCUCAGCAUUAAGACGAUCUUAUACUUGCUGUUUAGACUGGUUGUAUAAGAAAUCAAAUAUAUAAUCCUGCGUAUCAGGUUUGUGGGUGGUCGAGUUAGAAAUAUUCUCUCAUCAUCUUUGUCGGUUUUAUCAAUUGCAAAAGAUUUUUGUCGUGUUUUCCCCUGAAUGCACUUAUUAUUCCCAUUUUUUUUUAUCAGUAAAUGUAAGUUUUUAUUGAUCAAAAUUUGUAUACAAGUACUCUGGGCAUAUCCGGACUUACAAUCAUCGUUGCCUAACCAGAAUUUCAGCAUUUCAAUUUCAAAUAUCUCUAAUUUUUUUCCUGAUAUUUUACCCUUUGGUGAAGGGAACUGGGAUUAGUUGAUGAUAAAAGCCGUGAAUCAGGAAUAGAUAUAAUUUUUUGCAUGAGAUACCGAUGUAGAUGGCGAAGAGUCCUGAUGAUGGUGAAAGAGUGGAGCCUGGCCAUGACCUGACCUGAUGCUGGGCGGCUUCUUCUUGCUGUUUAUUUGUUCCACUCUCUCCAUCCCACUAAGAUAAGCUUGGUUUCAUUUUUUGUUUGUCCCAAAUUAUACGUCAUUUUCUUUGUUGAGCAUGUGUCUUGUUAUCAACAAAUAUGGACUACCAUUAUUCAUUUUAGGGAUAUAUUAGGAAAAAUGUAAGUAAAAUUUAUACUUUCAACGUGUACUAAUAAAGUUUUCUUAAUUUUUGUGAAAAUAAAAACAAGCUUAUCUUUAUGGGACGGAGGGAGUAUUACAUUUCCUUAUUUAGUCGAGUCUUUUAAUUUGUUCCGUUUCCUUAUUCUUGAAGGAUGUCCCCAUUUGGCCCCAAUUAGUUCACAUCAUAAUUUUUUCCUUUUUCAAACACACAUUCUUCAAAAUAUGUAUACUAUUCCAAAAAUUAUAAUACCAAAUAAUGGGGGCCAAACGAGGGCUUAAUUUGUUUCCCUUAUUCCUUUACAAUUGUUUUUGAGUUGAGUUAAGAUUUGCUAUUUUAGUAUGGG
RNAcentral lists this long non-coding RNA (1898 nucleotides) under Olea europaea subsp. europaea. The record is from RNAcentral. Lineage: Eukaryota; Viridiplantae; Streptophyta; Magnoliopsida; Lamiales; Oleaceae.